CAGCCGCCACGGGAAUACAGAGGGUGCGAGCGUUAAUCGGAUUUACUGGGCGUAAAGCGUGCGUAGGCGGCUUCUUAAGUCGGAUGUGAAAUCCCUGAGCUUAACUUAGGAAUUGCAUUCGAUACUGGGAAGCUAGAGUAUGGGAGAGGAUGGUAGAAUUCCAGGUGUAGCGGUGAAAUGCGUAGAGAUCUGGAGGAAUACCGAUGGCGAAGGCAGCCAUCUGGCCUAAUACUGACGCUGAGGUACGAAAGCAUGGGGAGCAAACAGGAUUAGAUACCCGGGUAGUCCCUGUCUUUAUACA
Molecule: ribosomal RNA, 301 nt
Filed under: uncultured bacterium
Lineage: Bacteria
Description: partial 16S ribosomal RNA
Rfam family: Bacterial small subunit ribosomal RNA
Source: RNAcentral